AUGAUCAUGGCUCAGAUUGACCGCUAGCGUAAUGCCUUACACAUGCAAGUCGAACGGCAGCACGGACUUCGGUCUGGUGGCGAGUGGCGAACGGGUGAGUAAUGUAUCGGAACGUGCCCAGUAGCGGGGGAUAACUACGCGAAAGCGUAGCUAAUACCGCAUACGCCCUACGGGGGAAAGCAGGGGAUCGCAAGACCUUGCACUAUUGGAGCGGCCGAUAUCGGAUUAGCUAGUNUAGGUGGGGUAACGGCUCACCAAGGCGACGAUCCGUAGCUGGUUUGAGAGGACGACCAGCCACACUGGGGAACUUGAAGAAC
RNAcentral lists this ribosomal RNA (317 nucleotides) under uncultured bacterium. RNAcentral's name for it is "bacterial SSU rRNA". It matches the Rfam family "Bacterial small subunit ribosomal RNA", at positions 13 to 327 of the family's 1533-position model. The record is from RNAcentral.